This is a transfer RNA of 72 nucleotides. It matches the Rfam family "tRNA". From Rfam's summary of the family: Transfer RNA (tRNA) molecules are approximately 80 nucleotides in length. The record is from Rfam.
GCUGGUGUGGCUCAAUGGCAGAGCAGCUGAUUUGUAAUCAGCAGGUUGAUGGUUCGACUCCGUUCACCAGCU